AGAGUUUGAUCAUGGCUCAGGAUGAACGCUAGCGGGAGGCUUAACACAUGCAAGUCGAGGGGCAGCAUAGGGUAGCAAUACUCUGAUGGCGACCGGCAAACGGGUGAGUAACGCGUAUGUAACCUACCCUGUACAGGGGGAUAACCCGGAGAAAUUCGGACUAAUAUCCCAUAACAAUAUCCGGGGGCAUCUUUGGAUAUUUAAAGUUCCGGCGGUACGGGAUGGGCAUGCGUAACAUUAGCUAGUUGGUAAGGUAACGGCUUACCAAGGCUUUGAUGUUUAGGGGUCCUGAGAGGGUGGUCCCCCACACUGGUACUGAGACACGGACCAGACUCCUACGGGAGGCAGCAGUGAGGAAUAUUGGUCAAUGGGCGCAAGCCUGAACCAGCCAUCCCGCGUGCAGGAAGACGGCGCUAUGCGUUGUAAACUGCUUUUCCAGGGAGAGAAACUUGCGCACGUGUUGCGCAAUUGACGGUGCCCUGGGAAUAAGCAUCGGCUAACUCCGUGCCAGCAGCCGCGGUAAUACGGAGGAUGCGAGCGUUAUCCGGAUUCAUUGGGUUUAAAGGGUGCGUAGGCGGACUAUUAAGUCAGUGGUGAAAUCCUGCAGCUUAACUGCAGAACUGCCAUUGAUACUGAUAGCCUUGAGUUUGGUUAAGGUAGGCGGAAUGUGUAAUGUAGCGGUGAAAUGCUUAGAUAUUACACAGAACACCAAUUGCGUAGGCAGCUUACUGAGCCGACACUGACGCUGAGGCACGAAAGCGUGGGGAUCGAACAGGAUUAGAUACCCUGGUAGUCCACGCCGUAAACGAUGAUUACUCGCUGUUGGCGAUACACUGUCAGCGGCUAAGCAAAAGCAAUAAGUAAUCCACCUGGGGAGUACGGCCGUAAGGUUGAAACUCAAAGGAAUUGACGG
RNAcentral lists this ribosomal RNA (913 nucleotides) under uncultured bacterium. RNAcentral's name for it is "bacterial SSU rRNA". It matches the Rfam family "Bacterial small subunit ribosomal RNA", at positions 8 to 916 of the family's 1533-position model. The record is from RNAcentral.